GACGAACGCUGGCGGCGUGCUUAACACAUGCAAGUCGAACGGAAAGGCCCUGCUUGCAGUGUACUCGAGUGGCGAACGGGUGAGUAACACGUGGGUGAUCUGCCCUGCACUUCGGGAUAAGCCUGGUAAACUGGGUCUAAUACCGGAUAGGAGCCAUUUUGAGUGUGAUGGUUGGAAAGUGUUUUCGGUGUAUGAUGAGCUCGCGGCCUAUCAGCUUGUUGGUGGGGUAAUGGACUACCAAGGCGGCGGCGGGUAGCCGGCCUGUGUGGGUGGACGGCCAUCCUGGGUCCUAGGGACGGCACCAGCACCGACGGUACGGAGAUGGGGGGAAGCUUGACGGAGCGGCGCCAGGCGGAUGAAGAGAGGCCGCGUGGCGGAAGACGGUCUUAGGGUUGUAAAACCCAUUCGUAAGGGACGGAGCUCUUUGUGACGGUACCUAGACAAGAAGCACCGGCUAACUACGUG
Molecule: ribosomal RNA, 465 nt
Filed under: uncultured bacterium
Lineage: Bacteria
Description: partial 16S ribosomal RNA
Rfam family: Bacterial small subunit ribosomal RNA
Source: RNAcentral